CCAAUCCUGAUGUGUACGUUGUUUGAAUGUACGUUUUGACCGAACAUUUUUGAGAAGGGAGCCUGGUGUUUUCACAUGGAAUGCAAGCCUCUUAACCAUCACUGAUGGGAGGACGCAAGAAGUGUGAAACAGGGCACCCACCUGCCUGGAGCGGGUUCAAAACUCAUUAAACACAACGGCACGAUUGGGAUUGGU
Molecule: non-coding RNA, 195 nt
Organism: Halobacillus sp. BBL2006
Lineage: Bacteria; Bacillati; Bacillota; Bacilli; Caryophanales; Bacillaceae
Rfam family: 6S / SsrS RNA
About the family: E. coli 6S RNA was the first non coding RNA to be sequenced, but its function was unknown until recently. It consists of 184 nucleotides that fold into an extended hairpin structure with a large single-stranded internal bulge.
Source: Rfam